Molecule: ribosomal RNA, 440 nt
Filed under: uncultured bacterium
Lineage: Bacteria
Description: partial 16S ribosomal RNA
Rfam family: Bacterial small subunit ribosomal RNA
Source: RNAcentral
CCUACGGGAUGCAGCAGUGGGGGAUAUUGCACAAUGGGGGAAACCCUGAUGCAGCGACGCCGCGUGGGUGAAGAAGCGCCUCGGCGCGUAAAGCCCUGUCAGCAGGGAAGAAAAUGACGGUACCUGAAGAAGAAGCCCCGGCUAACUACGUGCCAGCAGCCGCGGUAAUACGUAGGGGGCAAGCGUUAUCCGGAUUUACUGGGUGUAAAGGGGGCGCAGACGGCGAUGCAAGCCAGGAGUGAAAGCCCGGGGCCCAACCCCGGGACUGCUCUUGGAACUGCGUGGCUAGAGUGCAGGAGGGGCAGGUGGAAGUCCUGGUGUAGCGGUGAAAUGCGUAGAUAUCAGGAGGAACACCGGUGGCGAAGGCGGCCUGCUGGACUGCAACUGACGUGGAGGCCCGAAAGCGUGGGGAGCAAACAGGAUUAGAUACCCGUGUAGUC